UACGAAGGGGGCUAGCGUUGCUCGGAAUCACUGGGCGUAAAGCGCACGUAGGCGGAUCUUUAAGUCAGGGGUGAAAUCCUGGAGCUCAACUCCAGAACUGCCUUUGAUACUGGGGAUCUCGAGUCCGGAAGAGGUGAGUGGAACUCCGAGUGUAGAGGUGAAAUUCGUAGAUAUUCGGAAGAACACCAGUGGCGAAGGCGGCUCUCUGGUACGUGACUGACGCUGAGACGCGAAAGCGUGGGGAGCAAACAGG
This 253-nucleotide ribosomal RNA is filed under the name uncultured bacterium. RNAcentral's name for it is "partial 16S ribosomal RNA". It matches the Rfam family "Bacterial small subunit ribosomal RNA", at positions 524 to 776 of the family's 1533-position model. The record is from RNAcentral.